CCUACGGGAGGCAGCAGUGGGGGAUAUUGGACAAUGGGGGAAACCCUGAUCCAGCGACGCCGCGUGAGUGAAGAAGUAUUUCGGUAUGUAAAGCUCUAUCAGCAGGGAAGAAAGAAAUGACGGUACCUGAGUAAGAAGCCCCGGCUAACUACGUGCCAGCAGCCGCGGGAAUACGUAGGGGGCAAGCGUUAUCCGGAAUUACUGGGUGUAAAGGGAGCGUAGACGGUAAUGCAAGUCUGGAGUGAAAGGCGGGGGCCCAACCCCCGGACUGCUAUGGAAACUGUGUAACUGGAGUGCAGGAGAGGCAGGCGGAAUUCGUAGUGUAGCGGUGAAAUGCGUAGAUAUUAGGAGGAACACCAGUGGCGAAGGCGGCCUGCUGGACUGUAACUGACGUUGAGGCUCGAAAGCGUGGGGAGCAAACAGGAUUAGAUACCCCGGUAGUC
This 443-nucleotide ribosomal RNA is filed under the name uncultured bacterium. Its description in RNAcentral is "partial 16S ribosomal RNA". It matches the Rfam family "Bacterial small subunit ribosomal RNA", at positions 338 to 795 of the family's 1533-position model. The record is from RNAcentral.